UCGUCCACUGUUACGCUUUGAGUAUAUAUAUAUAAAUGAGAACAGUCGCUGACAGCAUGUCAUGGCACCAGUUUGUCUCUCUUCAUCUGCCCAGUGCAAAACAGCAAAUGGCAAAUACACAACAAAAAGCAGCAAAGGGCCGUAUUUGAAAUAGUGCUAAACAAGACGUAGCCACAUCUGUGCGUCAUCACUCCUCCUGCGACUACCAGGGCGACACCUGGCCUCACGCCAUGAUGCUUCCCCAUCCUCCGUGAAAAGCGCCGGUCAGACGUCCGGGCUCGUCCUCCAGGCGUGUCUGCAGGCCUCGCCCCGUGGGGACGUGUCUGCAGGCCUCGCCCCGUGGGGACGUGUCUGCCGGCCAGGAACAAGGGACACUCAGUGUUGCGGUUGGCUGCAUCGAUCCGACUGUCUGCCGUCCUUCUGAGGACAUGCUGGAUGCAGCACCCGGCCCGUUCACUGCUGAAGAUGUGAGAAAUAGUUACAUGUUUGAGAUUGUCAAGGAAAAUCAAACAAACCAAACAGGGAAUAAGAGAUUAAAAAAGAAAAGUCACACAUGUUUCUGCACACUGAUGAUCUAUUUGUGUUUUAACAUUGUCAUUGUGAACGCAUGAAAGCCACCGCCAUCUUUACAUGUACACAAACGUAGGAGUCAGUAGACUGAUCAAAAUGGAAUUCGGUGGUUGAUUAGGAUUAGCAUUCUAUUCAUCUGUUUCCAAAACUGAAUUCUUCCUUUGGGAGGCUCAGCCUGCAGCAUUAACCGGCCACUCGCCCUCACUCGGGGGGGGUCUCUGUCCCUCCCACACACCUUAAAAUGAACAUUACUGAACGGCGUCACUAGAUAAGGGGUGAAUCCUUUUGGAAAACAGGUGUCGCACACUCGUAGUUCUGCUGGUGGCCGAGUAUCAAUGUUUGCAUCCUUUAGUCUGCGUGUGGACUAGAAAUAAGCACUAACAAAAAAGAGGAACUUCCUCAGUUUUGUGACAGUUUCCCUUCUCAAAGGCGCAAAUCACGACAUCUGAUUGACGAGACGGUCUGAUUACGCCGCUCGCUAAUGACUCCAAGAAGAGCUGCAUCAAACAAAAAUAUAUAUGACGUACAAUGCAGCUAAAUGGCACAAUUCAUUACCCGAGUUUUAGCGCACACACACACACACACACACACACACACACACACACACACACACACACACACUAUACCAGUUGUGGCGGCUUCUCAAACCCCAGAUAUUUGAAUUCUCUUUAACAGUAGAAAGCACAAAAAAAUAAAGCCUUUGUUUCUGACAUUUGUGGAGGUGAGUGUGUUUUUUUCCCCCCGUAUGUUAUUUUCAAUCACGAUACGUGACACGACUCUGCUCACUUAAAGCUUCCAUUUCAUGUUGACAAAGGCCUUCCUGCCUCUCUCUCUCUCUGCAGACACGUGAACUAAAGUGGAAGAAGAGCGAGGCGGCGAUGGGCGGCAUCAAAGCAGGCCUGUCAGCUCGUAGGUACGGGCCUCAUCAGCAGACACACAGCCUUCCUCCCUUUCUUCCAUCCUUUCAAACAGACAUCUUGGGCCGAUGGCAGGGUGUUGUCUAAUUAAUGACUGAAUGUGUGUGUGUGUGUGUGUGUGUGUGUGUGUGUGUGUGGAGUUGACCUAAAAAGUUAUCGUCACUCAUUGCUGAAUGUCACUCCCAUCGCAUUUUACUAUGAAGGUUGUCAGACUCUCUGCUCUUCACAUCCCCGGUUACUCUUAGCGAAGAUAGCGAUAUGUUGCAGUCGGUCCUGCACAGAAAUCAUUUAAACCAACCGUGAGCGGGGAAACGAAUGCUGCCAUAUUUGCCGUGCUUGUGUUGCACUGUGUAGUAGCCGUCACGUCAGCUGGCUGCUGUUCACAUUCACACUUUAGCAUUUUAGAUUGGAGCUGUUAGCGCUCUGAUGUUCUGAUGCGGCCCGGACUGGAGACAGACGGGAAGCAACCUUUGUUUCCUUCUUCUCUACAUUUCACCACAUGUCACUGUGUGCUCACGUGGCCCGAGGCUUCCAAUCUGUCCUCAGCACAAAGAAAGAAAGGCCCAAAGCUUCACGAGGCUUCCUCGACUCUCCAUCGGCCUCUCUAAUGAUCCACAUAUGUGUUUGUAGUUGUGGGAGUUGCAGCAGUGUUAAUUUUGGCAGCUAUUUUUUAUUUAGUCUCAGUCUUCAGACGAAAAAUGCAUAUAAGUUUUAGUCACAUUUAGUCAUUUUAAUCUUUCUUAGUUUUAGUCAACGAAAACUAGACUAAAAUGUAAUUAGUUUUAGUCACAUUUAAUAGCCAUAUUAAACUCCUUUUCUUCCCUUCUCAGGCCCAGGGACCCCCUGUGUUGUGUCUACAGCUGCAUAAUAGUCUAUCUUGCAGUACUUGGUUGUCCAUCAGAUGUCCCUCCUAGGACAGGUCUACAGAUGUCCCUCCUAGGACGGGUCUAUAGAUGUCCCUCCUAGGACGGGUCUACAGAUGUCCCUCCUAGGACGGGUCUACAGAUGUCCCUCCUAGGACGGGUCUAUAGAUGUCCCUCCUAGGACGGGUCUACAGAUGUCCCUCCUAGGACGGGUCUAUAGAUGUCCCUCCUAGGACGGGUCUAUAGAUGUCCCUCCUAGGACGGGUCUACAGAUGUCCCUCCUAGGACAGGUCUACAGAUGUCCCUCCUAGGACGGGUCUAUAGAUGUCCCUCCUAGGACGGGUCUACAGAUGUCCCUCCUAGGACGGGUCUACAGAUGUCCCUCCUAGGACGGGUCUAUAGAUGUCCCUCCUAGGACGGGUCUACAGAUGUCCCUCCUAGGACGGGUCUACAGAUGUCCCUCCUAGGACGGGUCUAUAGAUGUCCCUCCUAGGACAGGUCUAUAGCAGGUCGGCAGACUUUGACUCAUGGGCCACAAUGGGUUGUAAAAUGUGACGGAGGCCAAGAACAAAUGGUGGAAGUGUUUGUGUGAGUUGAUAUAAACGACAUGUGAAACAUCAUUACAUGAAAGGAUUUGGAUUUUAACAAAUAGAAAAGCAUUUAUUUGCAAGGCAAUUUAACAAAUUGUCAAAGGUGUAACAACUUCAUGAGGACCAGGGACCUAAACGCAACACUUUGUUGCCUUUGUCUGUUUACUUGCAAUGCUUUUGACACUUCAUGGUCCUUUAUUGUUUCCACUGUCCCAACAAAAGAGACCCUAACGUCCUACAAUCGGUGCAAUACAUUAUUUUCUUGGCUUCAGAACCUGCAAUGAGUUUAUUACGUUAGAUGCGUUUGUGACUGCCUGUCGUCUGUCAGCUGCGUGCGAAUUUAGGGGGAAAAGUAUUGUGACUUUGUCACGUCUCGUUAACGAAAGUUAGAAUAGAUGUAGUCAUAGUUUUCAUUUUUUAAGAUCGUUUUCGUCACGUCUUAGUCUCGUCCUAGUCUUGGAAAAAAGGUUUGUUAACGAAAAAUUUUCAUCAUAGUUUUCGUCGACGAAAUUAACACUGAUAUACAGUAAACUGAGCAUUCAACAAAAACUGCUCAGUAUUUCCCACAACAAGAACCAAAAUGAAGGUAUCAGGUGGCUUUUUAGUCCGUCCGCUUGCCGUAAAUGACCUUUCCUACUGAAGCAAUGGCUGAUCACUCAUAUGGGCCUGCAUAGGAAGAAGACCUCAAUGACUGUAUAAAUGAGUCCAUCAAUUCAUUGUUUUAAAUUGUUUGUUUCAGCCCAAACAUCACAGGUCCCUGAGCACGACAACAAAAAAGUUGUAUUCCUCUACAUGAUGACUAAUGCAGUUUUGCUGAAAUCUAUUGGCGUUUGGGGAAUAAAAUGUGGUGAGAUGAUGAGUACAAUCUGUGUCUUGUAUUCAUUUUCUCCUCAGAUGUCUUGCGUCACGCAGCAAUUUGAUGAUAGUUGGGACACCAUCAUAGAAGCAACCAACCGUGGGCGUCCUCCACCAUCGCCCGUCUAAUAACAGAUGUAACAUCAUCACUUGUCUGUUAGCAGCUCUCAGCAUUUCAUCCAUCCAUCUAUUUGUCUCUUCAUGUAACACUCAUCUUAAGUUCAUAAACAGCGUCAGCAGGAGCUUUGCACAUUCUCGUUACAUGCAGAUUGUCCUCUCAAACUUUCUAAAGUUUAGACAUCAAAACUACAAAGUUAGGUCGAGGAAAACUUGUUGUGAGCUUCACUGACCGACGGCUCGUGUGACCAGCAGCAAUAACGACUCACGUGACGACAUGUGUGCUAGAUAUUAGUCCACCUCUCGUACUAAAUAACCCUAAAUAAUCUAUUUUACAAUUUGUUCUACAUGCUGCAUCAUUUGGGAAACGGUGUUUACUGAAAGAUGAAACUCGGAUGAUGGAAAGAGAAGGACCCAGUGGUUUUAGACCUUGACACACACUCAAGAGAUUAAGUCAGAACAUCUCUGCCCAUGUGGAUGGAUUUUAACCAAACCCUUUAAGAAUAUGUCUCUACUCCUUUAAGCGAUUCGUGGAGAAUCUCAUUCUUUGUGUUUUGCUGAGAGAAGGAUGCAUGUGUGGAUCGUCUAAGCACUGCCAGCAGGGAGGAGACGGCAGCUCUGGUACAUGGUGCGAGCUCAUAGAGCAAGUACAUUUCACACAAUUAUGUUUGAGAUAAAUUCAGACAGGAGGCAUAUGACUACACUGGCUCAAAAAGCACACAUAGACAAUUGAAUGUAUCAAAUUGUUCUCAACAUGAAAUAUUGACAAGAUGCAGUGCAUCGGCUACACCGCGCAGCUCCUAACUCUAUGAAUGAGUUGAAUAACGCAGACCUCGGCUGGCCGUGAUUUACUUACUGCUGCAUUUUCUAUGUGGUGUGUGGAGACUUCACGGUACGCUGGCAAGUCAGCAGCUCAUGAUACCGUGUUUUUAUUUGAGCUUUAUAACUCAUGUAAAAUUGAUUCAGGUCAUGGCUAAAGAAGCAAUGAACAUUAGUGUUGCACACAUGCUGCGUCUUUGUUGUGGAAAGGCUUAGGGCAGCAGCCCCCCACCUGUUCGCCUCGCGGACUGGUUUCGUGUCAGAAACUGUUUUGUGGACCGAUCUUCAACAUGUGGCUGAUAAACACGGCGAAAAAACGGGUGGAGAAAAUAAGAGGACCAGUUUGGUACCAAAUGGUCCGCAAACCAGUGUUUGGGGACCACUGACUAUCCAGCGUGAUCUCCAAAACCUGUUUGUAAAAAUCUAUACAAAAAUCAUAAAAAUUGGUAACAAUACAUAGGAACUGGCGGUGGUUAACCACGCCCCCUGAGUGAACAACAUGGCGGACCAUGUCGGAUUCUUGAGUGAACGUCUCUCCGCCAUGUUGGAUUUUUUUAGGGGGUUAGGGUUAGUAUUCUGUUCUUACAAGUUAACAUUGAUUUCUCGUUAAAAAUGCAAUCAUUACACGUUUAUUUUACAUGGUUAGACUUCACCAAGUGGGUUUAACGGGGUGCAGGUCCCCAUUCACUUUGAAUAGGGUGACGUCAGCAGUUGCAGUCCGUAUUUAUUUAGUAUGUAUCACUACGAAUUUCUAGGUUCAAGACUUUUGUAUACAUGUUUACGAACAGGGUUUGUAGAUCAGGCUGGACUAUCUGCACCUACGAUCUCAAGUGCUUUACAACUGAUGCAGAGGUGGGACAUACAGGAAGAAAUGCAGACAAAGAAGUCAAAAACUGGGGGCGGUAUUUAUGCUCGAACAAAGAAGGACCACCAAAAGUUUACAACUUACCUUGAAGGGAACAUUAGUCAACCAAAUGUAAUGAUAAUCCAUCCAAUAAGCACAAACGUUGACUUCAUAGUUACUGAUACAUCGCCUGGGAGAGUGUAUAAGAUGUCCAACAGAACUAAAUCCAACUCAAUUCAACAUUAUAUUUUCUGUUAAUCGCAAAUUACAACUUUGCCUCAAGGGGCUUUACAGUCUGUACACAUGUGACAUCCUCCGUCCCUAAACCCUCACAUCGGCACAGGGAAACGUCCCCAAAAAAUGAAAAACCCUUCGAUGGGGAAAGAGGAGAAGGAAUCGCUCUGCCGCGAUGGACAAACUACAAUGGAUGUCAUGUGCACAGAAUGAACAAUGUGAAAGAUGCGCAAGUUUGUUGAAGAGGAAAUUCUCUCCUCAUUGACUACAAUCUGGUCGACUGCAGUAGUGUCACCUGAAAGGUUGCGGAGGUAAAGAGUGAACAGAAGGGGGCAAACACUCAGCCCUGGGGGGCUCCGUGACAAAGUCUAAUAACGCGUUGCAGACUGAGGAUGUCGAGCCUGUGCUGUAAAAAUGUACCGAUCGAUCUCCUCGUGGGGGCUGGAGGGUGUUUGAGGGCUGAGCUGAAGUUCACACAACAUGCUGGAAGUCGAGUCGGAGCAGACCUCCUCCAGACUGGCUCGGGUGGGAUUGUGUUGUCAUAGAGAGGUGGUCCCUCAAGGCACUUGAUCGGGACGGGGGGGGCACAGGGUGGUGGACUGCAGACUGGACACUGCAGACCUUUUACGUGAAGGGACAAUAAUAUGUGAUGAUAUGUACACAAACACAGAUCUUAUCAGGUCCAGCAGCUCCACCGACAUCCACCCUCACAUCCUCGGAGGUCUCAGACAGCGGCUGGUCCUGUGGAGAAUAUUUCACAGCUGUUAAAACUAAAAAGUAAUCACACGUCCACUCCAAAGUUGGAAGAGUACGAAUGAAAUAUGAAUAAAUGUUGGCGCACUUGUUCAAGAACUCAUAAGCGUGUUAUAUCCAGUUCUCAAUGUUAAUCUAAUCUUUCUGUACAAAUAUCAAUCCCCUGCAGUGACACAGUGCCUCCUCUUGUGUCAUCAGGAAAUGUGAAAAAAAAUAAUCAUUCAAAAAAUACAUAUAUGUUUGUCCACUGAUCUGUGAUAGAAGUGUAAUUAUUAGAUUCCUAUCAAUCCGAUGAUUGUUAUGUUGCGACGUCACCAAUGUAAUGUUUGUACACAGUUUCAUCACAUGUCCUCACAUCACAUAGUCUGCCUCCUGUAUAUCACGUAUGUUAGUCUUGCUAAUCUGACAACAGGAGGCACCUGGACUGGAGCCUCCUGCUCGUCACUGCUGGGAGGCGGAGUCAGUACCUCUGCCCGCCUGAAGGGGGCGUGUGUGAUUCCGCUGUUGUUUUUCUUCACGUAUUACAGACUGAUAGCAUAGUUAGCAUGUGCUAGUGCACAUUAUCAGUCCUUGAGAACAGGAAAACGUACAGACUGAAUCGGACCAAAGACGACUUUCACCCCGAGCAGUGAUGUCCAUUGAGACAAAGAGACGGUUCAAACUAAGAUAAAGACGACUUUUACACCAAAGUCAUAGAGAUGUUUGUCCAGAAGGAGAGGCGAAUGGACUUAAUAUCAUUUACAAGUAAAAGUAAGCGCAUGCACACACUGCUGUACACGACUAAAAGAGCAGCUCUAUUUUUGAUAACAUUAAAAAAAUAUAAAAGAACAUUUAAGCCAUAAGGUACGAGAGGCUGCACUUUAUCGUCAACAAUGCACUGUUCAAGGGUGUUGUUUGCCAACCGUAUUGCUUUAGGUUGUCCUUGACAUUAUUGGUAAGCAAAUAGUUUCCUUUCAGCACAAAACAAGUUGUAUCCUCCAAACGUUGUGUAUCGCAUUUCAGUUGCUGUGCAACAGACAAACAGCAAUGGGAGCGUUUGUUAGCUUAGCACCAGAAGUUAGUUGAUGAUUAGAAAGGAGAUUGACAUUAAUUUGUGCGUCUCGUUUAUUCACUUUGCUCGUGACGACCACCUGAAUGUUCCUCUUUGGCUAAAAGUGCCCUGAAUCGGUUGAGAAAACUCGUAUUUCACAAAACUUCUCAUUUGAGCCGAUGGCUGAAAUGACAACAAACGGUCGCGCAAAAUCUAACUGUUAUUUUGACCACCGCACUGAUAUGAACCCUGAGGUUAAUGUAAACAGGUAACAUUACAUUAUGGCUCAAUUCAGCUACACCCCGUGACUCACUCUCCACCAAUCAGAGCGCUUGAUUUCAUCUGCCCCGUAUUAUAAAAGAAUAUAUUUAAGGGAUAUGAAACAUAACCAGUCUUGUUGAAUGGUAAAUUUAUGCUACUUUGUUGAAUUCAUAUAUUUGUGAAUGUGACUUCAGAGUCAGUGCCUCCCAGCCACCACCAAGUACUCUUACCAAGUACACAAGUAACAGUUUGUAGUACCUUUGUUUUGGAGGCGAAUGUGCUCCUUUUUAUUCUUCUACAUCCUCCGAUGGCCUAAUUUUGUAAUUAAACUACAUAAUAACGUGGUUAAGCCAAGCGUGUCCCCGAUGGUGAGAAGGUAGAGAGUAGCAUCAUGAAAGGUGUGAAGGUGUGGAGGUUGAAAGGAAAAAACAAUAAAUCAUUUUUUGUAACUUUCUUCCUGUUUCCGAGGUAAGAAUUUAGUUUUUAAUUCGACCACAUUAUUAUUAUGCAUACAGAAAAUAUGACCACCUUAUUUAUAUGUUGCAUUUUCAGGAUCUGAAUAUGUUUUCCUCAUCAACUCUAUUAAAUAUAUUUUAAAUAUAACUCUGAAAACGGGUCCUUUUAGGAACUGAAUAGCAGCCAACAGGCUCUUACUUUGAAGGUCUAUGGCUUAAACUCCCUUUAAAAAGAUAAGACUGGGACGCACACAGGCAGUGGUAGGCUGCCCCCUCCUGCCCUCCUGCCCCCUGUAGAGGGCAGAACUCAGCCAAAACACCUCCGGCUUCAUGUCUGUAUCAGAGGAGAGCAAACCGAGAGGGGGGGGGGGGGGUGUAGAGGCUGUGGCAUUUCCAGAGUGCAUCAACAGAUACCCCCUCACGGCCCCUUCCUCCCCAGCCCUCGUAGAGUUGGACUUAUGGCUGGGUUGCCAGCAUAAAUAAGUCCCUUUGAUAGUUAGUGGAAGAAGUUACGACCCCCCUGGGUACGGCGAGGGACGGUGGCAGAGCGGCGUCUGGCGGGGGCCCGCCCGGCGCCCCGUGGCUCUGAUCCUCGCGCCGAUUCAGGGCACGCUCUCUUCAUUACAGGCGGCCACCGGGGACUUGUUUUUUCUGCAAGAUUAAUGAGUGCCGCGGAAAUUCUCCAGCGCAACGCGAUAAUUAAGUCUUUGUUUAUCAAAAAACAAGUUAUAUUAGGGGCAGGAAAUUCGCAGUAAUUAUUCAUAAUCCUAACAAUUCAAGUGUAGCUACCUCAUUUGCCUGUGUAAUUCUGCUUUUUAAUUUCUCGCAUAUAUUUGCAUAUUAAUUCUGCCCAUCGGCUGAUGCUGGGGCUGUGACAUUUUUUUCCCUCCCCUCUCUUCGCGCGGUGUGAUGUUUUUCGUGGGGGUGAGGCUUAGUUGGGUGGCAUUUCGGUUUGGGUGUAAUGAUAAAUUAUGAAUUUUUCUAAUUUGAUGCAUAAUGAAGUAACCCCUUCCCAUCCGCUUCCUCUCGGCUCCCCCCCCCCAUCCACACACCUCACCCUGCCACCACCACCUUCAGCCAUGUGGUCAUUAGGGACAGAGAAGCCACAUCUCAUUGGUGUCAAAGGCUGUCUGGUGGGCGAGGGAGAGGAGAUCAGCCGCCACGGGCCAACAUGGCAUCGCGUCCAAGCCCUCUGUGCCCUCGCAUCCUCUCCUCUCUCCUCUCCUCACCUCACUCCUUUCCCUUCCGUCUUCCCUUUCAUCUCUUUUUCCUUUCCUCUCAUCCCAUUGCUCCCCUUCUCCUUUCUUUAAACUGUUAAUUAAUGUAUAUCUUUCCUCCUCUCAUUUAUCUCUAUUCAUUUCAUCUUUCUUUACAAUCCCUCAUCCCCUUUACGCCCAUGUUUCCUUUAUUUUUCUAUGUACUCUUAAUUUCAUUUCUCAUUUCUUUCGGUUUCUUUUCCUCAUUCUUCCUUACGUCAUCUCCUCUUCACAUCCUGCCCCCUUGCCACCCCUCUUUCCCCUUCGUUUAUGUCGCCAUCCUCUCUACAGAUUCAUAUUCCGCUCCUUUCCUCCUCUCCAACGUCCUUCAUCACCCUUCCUCUCCUCGUCUCCUUUUCCUCUCACCCUUCUGCAUCCUUCGCUCCUCUCAUUUCUCUCCUGUAUCUCUCUCCUCCUCUUCCUCCCGAUUGCCUGUACAGAGAGUCUUAAUUCCCUGUGUCUGCCCAGAGGUUGUGUGUGUGUGUUUAUGGCAUGUUUGUAUGUCUGAAGAUGAGCCCAAAUCCCUUCGUCCUUGAUGAAAACAUCUUUGUGGUACGCUGACAUAUGUUUAAGUGGUGAGAGUGCGGCGUUUGUUAAGUGCUAAGCGUUACACAACGCUGACUGCCGCUGUCAUAAGGAAAUGAAUAUUGAUGAUCUCGGCCCCCACGAUGCACACUGGGUGACAUGCUUAAAAAUACAGCCUCACAGCCAUUUAGACUGCAUGCACUCUCACACUCACCAUCACACGAGCUGCUGGCAAUAUCACAAAUGGAGUAACCUCUGACCUGCUUUGGUGAUAAACACACUGUGAAUUAAUGUAACGUCACAAAUUCCACUUGGUUAAAUAAUCCAUCUGAAAAUCUGCUGGACGGUUCCAAUUUAGUUGAGUUUGAUUUUAAGACGAGGACGUGUUAAGUGUUGAGAUAAUAAUGAGACGAUAGAAUGUAUGUAAGACUGAGAGAAGUAUGAAGUACAGGAGGGAUGUUUAAUGUUGGAUGGUGUCAAUGAAGAGCAAUGAGAACCGGACAACCACAUAUUUAUUUCACGGAGCAUGAAGGAAUGUCAAUUUUGUUUCAUCUUUACAUAAUUCAACAUAUUAACAUAAGGCGGUAUUAUAUAUUUAUUUAUUUAUAGCAUUAAAAACAAUCAUCACUUAUUAACAUUUUUAAGCUGUUAUAUUUUUA
Long non-coding RNA from Gasterosteus aculeatus aculeatus (three-spined stickleback), 10748 nucleotides. The record is from Ensembl. Lineage: Eukaryota; Metazoa; Chordata; Actinopteri; Perciformes; Gasterosteidae.